Ostrea edulis (European flat oyster) is the source of this 3909-nucleotide long non-coding RNA. RefSeq lists it as uncharacterized. The transcript is spliced from 2 exons. The record is from RefSeq and is a predicted model, not a curated record. NCBI's taxonomy places the organism in Eukaryota, Metazoa, Mollusca, Bivalvia, Ostreida, Ostreidae.
CUUGAUACAAAGUAAUUGGCUAGUAUGUGACCUGUAUGAAUUAUAGAUUAAUAUGUUUGUUUCAGUUUGAUACGAAGUAAGACAAUUCAAUUGAUUUUACUACUAUUUUAAGCCCCUUCUUAAAACAUUUAGACAACCUUAAGACCACUUAUACGGGUAACACUUCAUUAUUUCUAAUUCAACUUCCUUGUUUCUUUCUCCAUGCAAUACUGGGAAAUUCACAGCUGGUGUAGUUUCUCUUUAGCGGUUUCUCUUCUGGAAUGCACCUGUUGAUAAUAUAAAGUUGUACCUGUUGCUUAUUAGAUACAGGAUGGUUUUUCUAAGGUAUGCAGACGCGCAUAGAUCGUGCGGGAUAUGCCUGAACCUACAACACAUAGAUUUGUCAACAACUUCAUUUGACGCUGCUUGUGGUAUUAUGAAAGGUCAUAUCAAUAAUAUACUCCAAGAACUGAAUUCAAAAAAGGAAAUAGAAACAUUUACUUUUGGAAAGACAUAUACAACGUCAAAAAAAUAUUUCUAUUUUCCCGUUAAUAACACAAACUCUUGGAAUCUAUCCGGAAUUCGCUCAGCUUGGAAAAGAUUCAAAGCUCUAGGAUUCCACAACCUGGUUGUGGUGUCUGUUGUAGAUGAACAUCAGAUACCACUAUACAACAUGCUCUGGCGAAACAACGACACUGAGGACUUUACGGUUGCCUUGAAACAGAACUUAAUCCACUUUUACAAAAUCACCAAAAAGGACCGCAGACUUGGAAAUGUAAACUGCAGGGAGGGAGCAAGGAAAGAUAACUCGUAUCGUGGUGUGUUGUACAUGGCUAUCAGAUACACAGAACCCGAAGAUGACGACGAUUGUCAGUGGUUGUUCUACUGGGUGAUUGCCUUAAUCUUCUGGCCUCUGUAUGUCGUGUACAUAUUGUAUAAGUUGCAACAACCUAGUCGACGAAGAAAAAAACGUUAACAUAAACCCUACGACUGUUAUCUUAAAUGUAGAGGUUCAUCGAAACAAUUAACGAUGUACGGACUUUCAGAUAUGAUGCCAUGAAAAUAGUGGGUUUGAAAAACAAAUUACUUUGUAUAUGAAAACUUCCAGCAACUAACCAAUUAGCUGCAGAAUUGUAACUCUCUGGGAUUAGAUCGGGAGAUAUAAAAAAACCCACAAAUUUACACCCGUUAUAACACCUCUAUUGCUAAAUAGCAACAUAUUUACUCGGUAUAAAACUUCUAUAAAUCGAUAAACAGCCACAGAUUUACCCGUUAUAACACCUCUGUUGACAGACAGCCACAAAUUUACCCGGUAUAACACCUCUAUUGAUAAACAGCAACAUAUUUACUCGGUAUAACACUUCUAUUGAUAAACAGCCACAGAUUUACCCGGUAUAACACCUCUAUUGACAAACAACCACAUUAUUUACCCGGUAUAACACUUCUAUUUACAGACAACUAGAAAUCUACUUGUUAUAAAACUUCGAUUUACGGUGUAUCUUUCCUGCACAGAAUUCAGAUAUAUUGUAUUUGCUGUGUAUUACAUAAGUGAAAGUUUAUUGUAUGUAUUCAUGUCUUUAUUGUAUUUACUCAUGUUUUUCUUGUAUGUAUUCAUGUUUUUAUUGUUUUUUAUUGUAUGUAUUCAUGUUUUAUUGUAUGUAUUCAUGUUUUUAUUACCUUCAAGAGACCCCGUUCCUCGGAUGAUAAAAGUUUUCCCCUUUAUUGUGCGGUUUUAUGUAGUAUAUGUUAUUAUGAAAACGAAUCGAACCUUACUGAACAGUUAUGUAGGACAAACAAGAAUCCCCUGGACAUACCGGGGGUGGAAUCAGUUGGCUAGGAGCACAGGCUAUUAUAUUGCUUGGGUUCGAAUUUACUAUUAAAGAGCAAAGGUAUAGAACUUUUAAUAAAGGGUACCAAAGUUCGCCGAAGUAAAAACAUUAAACCAAAUGAUGUAAAAUUCUACUCUGUAUUCUAACACAUUCAUACAUAAUCAAUCUACAUUACUACCAAAGUUCAUCCCGAAAUUCCGUAUACUUUCCAAGAUAUGUUGAAAUGAAUUCGGAAAAAUGCGUAUUAUUUCUUGGUCGAAUUUCAGCUGGGCCCUGGCACUAUAAGACUAAACAGAAUAUUUGAGCAUUUCAACAAGCCAUUACAUAGAAUGUGCAGCAUUAGAUAUCUUACCUCAAUUCAAAACCGGAAGUCCGUUAUAGCUCCAAGUGACUGAAAAUUCUAAAACCGUCAAUACCUUCACUUAUCACAGCCAUUUUUACAGGUGCAACUAAUUACCCGAAAAGGAUUAAAGGGCCCAUGACGAUUUAGAGUCUCAAAUACUAAUUCUUAUCAAUAUGAAUUCAUCAUAGUACAUAAUUAUGCAAAUAACAAGUUCUUAUAAAGAUUCAAAUGUCUUAUUAUGUCUAUUUUUAUUCAAACCACAGUAACCCCUUAUAUGGUAGACAAAUCAGUGCAUAUAUCAUAUAAUCACUGCAUUUUCUCUGUAGUUUUUGGUCUUACUUACCUAUAAUAAAGUAUAUAUUUCCUGAAAAUUGAGAUUGUUAACUUUCUGAAAAGGACAUUCUAAAAGUGUUCUUGUUGCUAUGGCAACAAGAACUGAGUAAUACUGUAGAAAUUCAAUUCCAAGAGCUGUUUGACGAUUUAAAAUAAUGAUGUUAAUUUGGGUAGUCAAAAUAGUUGUUAUAAGUAAAGUGCAGAUGGUUUUACAAUUUUAAUCAAUCAGGACUAUUUGAGACUUUCAAUUACAAACUGAGGUAAGAAAUGCAUCUUAAAACUGCCAUAGGAUGAUGUCUAUAUUGUGUAAUCGUGCGGUACAGCCCAGACACACUCUGUUUACUCUUGUAAGUCACCGGGCCCAGCUAAAUCUCGACCUCGCGAAACCCGCUGGAUUUUUAGAAUUAAUUUCUGCUUAUCUUUGGUAGUAUAUGGAAUUUCGGGAUGAAAUUUGGCAGUUAUAUAUAAAAAAAAAAAGUACAUACCAAUAUAAGUAUCAUCAACACCAUCUUUAUUUUUUUACGGUAAAAUAAGGUAUACUGUGAAAAGAGUUCUAUACCUGUACUCUUCUAUAAUAGUAAUUGGGUCCCCAAGCGAAAUAAGCGCCUGUGUCUAGGAGGAGUAAACACCCCUUGUUGAGGUUCUGUUUUUGUUUCUGCCUCCUAAGUACGUUACUGAAAGUAGUCCUGUUUUCAAAUUAUAAGUAUGUUACUGAAUGUAGUACUGUUUUCAAAUUAUAAGUACGUUACUGAAUGUAGUCCUGUUUUCAAAUUAUAAGUACAUUACUGAAAGUAGUCCUGUUUUUAAAUUAUAAGUACGUUACUGAAAGUAGUCCUGUUUUCAAAUUAUAAGUACGUUACUGAAUGUAGUCCUGUUUUCAAAUUAUAAGUACGUUACUGAAUGUAGUCCUGUUUUCAAAUUAUAAGUAUGUUACUGAAUGUAGUACUGUUUUCAAAUUAUAAGUACGUUACUGAAUGUAGUCCUGUUUUCAAAUUAUAAGUACAUUACUGAAAGUAGUCCUGUUUUUAAAUUAUAAGUACGUUACUGAAAGUAGUCCUGUUUUCAAAUUAUAAGUACGUUACUGAAUGUAGUCCUGUUUUCAAAUUAUAAGUACGUUACUGAAUAUAGUUCUGUUUUCAAAUUAUAAGUACGAAUUGUGGUUCUGUUUUCAAAUUAUUAUUAUCACGUCACUGAAUGGAGUUCUGUUUUCAAAUCAUAAAUACGUUACUGUCUUCGAAUCUUAAGUAUGUAACUACAUAUAGAUGCACUAUGAUGUAAUUAUUUAUUCGCAUCAUAAAUCAUGGUAUUUGUAACAAUCUGUUUCUAACAAUCAGUUUCUAAGAUAUAAAGUCUCUGAUAUAUAAACAAAUUUCUUUUGUAAAUACAAUAUUUAGAGGAUUCAGUAAACAAGAUACAGGAUAAUCA